AGAUUCUCUUAUUCGGUGGAGGAUCCUCAGCCCCCUCCCACCCGUGUUUACUGUACCUUAGUUGCUUCGGCGGGCCCGCCAUUCAUGGCCGCCGGGGGCUCUCACCCCCGGGCCCGCGCCCGCCGGACACACCACAAACUCUGUCUGAUCUAGUGCAGUCUGAGUUGAAUGAAUCACAAUCCGUUAAAACUUUCAUCAAUGGAUCUCUUGGUUCCGGCAUCAAUGAACAACGCAUCCAAAGGCGAUCACUGGUGUGAAUUGCACAAUUCCAUGAAUCAUCUUCUCUUUGAACGCACAUUGCGCCCCCUGGUAUUCCGGGGGGCAUGCCUGUCCGAGCGUCAUUGCUGUGCAGAAAGUUUUACUUGAGUGUUAUGCCGUCAACUCCUAUCCGGGGGGAUCAAACCAGUUCGUGGCGUCUGCAGCGGGUGCGAGCCCGGAGCUGAAAAGCCCUCUGUCGGCCACUCUGGAGCCCGGCCCGACGCUACUAAAAGUACAAAUCAAUCUUGGUCGGAGGUUACCCUCGAUAAGAACCCGAAACCCGCUAAAGAUCCUUCCACAGUUUACCCUAAGGAAA
RNAcentral lists this ribosomal RNA (574 nucleotides) under Aspergillus oryzae. Its description in RNAcentral is "eukaryotic LSU rRNA". The stretch from base 188 to 341 matches the Rfam family "5.8S ribosomal RNA". The record is from RNAcentral. Lineage: Eukaryota; Fungi; Ascomycota; Eurotiomycetes; Eurotiales; Aspergillaceae.